GCACUGCUGACGAGUUCCAAACAGGACGAAACAGCUUUCUAGUGC
This 45-nucleotide non-coding RNA is filed under the name Echinostoma caproni. The record is from RNAcentral. Lineage: Eukaryota; Metazoa; Platyhelminthes; Trematoda; Plagiorchiida; Echinostomatidae.